Molecule: transfer RNA, 72 nt
Filed under: Ovis aries (sheep)
Lineage: Eukaryota; Metazoa; Chordata; Mammalia; Artiodactyla; Bovidae
Rfam family: tRNA
About the family: Transfer RNA (tRNA) molecules are approximately 80 nucleotides in length. Their secondary structure includes four short double-helical elements and three loops (D, anti-codon, and T loops).
Source: Rfam by way of RNAcentral
UCCCUGGUGGCUCAGACGGUAAAGCGUCUGCCUGCAAUGCGGGAGACCCGGGUUCAAUCCCUGGGCUGGGAA